CCUACGGGUGGCAGCAGUAGGGAAUCUUCCGCAAUGGGCGAAAGCCUGACGGAGCGACGCCGCGUGAGCGAUGAAGGCCUUCGGGUUGUAAAGCUCUGGGGGAGAAAGAUCGGUACCUCCUUAGCAAGCACCGGCUAACUCUGUGCCAGCAGCCGCGGUAAGACAGAGGGUGCGAACGUUGUUCGGAAUUACUGGGCGUAAAGCGUGUGUAGGCGGCAAGGUAGGUCGGAUGUGAAAUCCCGCGGCUCAACCGUGGAAGUGCACUCGAAACCACCUAGCUAGAGCUCGGAGAGGAAGGUGGAAUGCUUGGUGUAGAGGUGAAAUUCGUAGAUAUCAGCAGAACACCUGUGGCGAAGGCGGCCUUCUGGACGAUACUGACGCUGAGACACGAAAGCGUGGGGAGCAAACAGGAUUAGAUACCCGUGUAGUC
Molecule: ribosomal RNA, 430 nt
Filed under: uncultured bacterium
Lineage: Bacteria
Description: partial 16S ribosomal RNA
Rfam family: Bacterial small subunit ribosomal RNA
Source: RNAcentral